CAUAUAAAAGCACUCACCACCCAGGGCUCUUCUCACCACUUCUCUUGACAUAUUCUCCUUGGAGACCAGGGUUUGCCUCCAUCCCAUGUCUUGCUACGACAUACCCUACCCACCUUGUGGCGUGACAUUGCCACCAUGCCCAGAGCCUUUCGCUGUCACUUCCAAUGAGAUUCAUGCCGUACAGUACCCGGACAGGAUAGUGGAAACUGAGCUGGAAGAUGGGCAACCCUGUACUGUGAUAUACCCUGGCCCAAUUCUCACUACUUUCCCUCAGCAGACGCUGGUGGGAUCCUCUGCUUUAUUUGACAUGGAGCGCUUACUUGGUUCCAAGAGAUCUUUUGAGUUUGAGGGCCCUCUUGGUCUGGGGGGAAUAUGUGGUCCUGGGAGCUUGUGUAAUUCUGAACCUUUUGGUGAUUUCCCCUAUGGGAACUGUGGGCCUUUUUAAACCCAGCACGAUUAUCCAUGGAACAAGAAGUAAGCAAACAUGAAAAAUAAGGAACAGAUUCAUGGCUGAGCUUGCUGAUUAUGGAUUUUAGAAGUGCCUAGCACCCACAACUUCCACUGCGGCUAAUGGAAGUUGUGAAUGCUUGGCACUAGAGCUGUGUGUGGGAGCUGGAAUAUCCAGUCAGCUGGAAAACCACCUGGGAGCAUCUACACAUUCACUAAUACAUGUUUGGUAAUGCGCAUUAAAUUUACUACCUCUAUUGUGAGGUACCAAAAAAGGCCCAUUAGUCUAUUUUAAUGUGCUUUAGGGAAAGCACAUGGGUUUUAUGUGACACUUCAAUGCACAUUAAAAUAGGCUAAUGCACAUUAAAAUGCAUGUGUAGACAUGCCCCCUAUUUUCAAACUUGGGUUUUUUUCCCCCAGAAAUGUGUCAGGAAAAAACCUGCAAAAUUCCAUGAAAUUAGUUAUAAAAAAUGAUGUCCAGAGCUGAUAAAAAUGUUCUGUUUUGAUCCUUCAAAAUGUUUAUUUCCAUUUUGACUUUAAAAUAAAAUCACAUUGUCAUUUACCAUAUAAAGUACAUUAUUGAGGGGAAAAAGUGUAUCUGGAGAUGGAAAAUUGAGAAGUUCCACUCUGCUCAUGCCCAGGAAUGGUACGGUUGAAACUUUUCUUUGAUACCUUGUUUAACAAAAUUUUCAUCAAAACUGAUCAAACGUCCUACGGCGAUUCAUUUUUAUUGAGCGAGAAUGUACAGAGGGAAAAGUAUUCUAAACCCCAAAAUUACCAACCAGCUCUACCAGGAUUUAUUUUUUUAAUGACAUACACAUCUUUUGCUUGUUAUAUUUUACUUCAGAUCUAUGCUAUAAUGGUUGCACAGCUUUGUUCUCUACUCAUAUUCUGCUGUGCUUGAUUUAUGCUGACCAGGGGACAAUAAGUAACUAGAAGCAAUGGAAGUUCACCCAUGCUCAUUAAACUUUACAGUUGGAACGGGGAAGAGUAUGGUGUUCAGAAUGCAAAACCUUGGAGGGGGCAGUUCAUCCAAGCCUCUCUUGAAACCCUGGAAAUAUUUUCCUCAUCUACUUCAUUAUCUCAUUUGCAAUUGUAUGCAUCACUUCUCAUGCUCAUUAAAAGCAUCAUAACACUUA
Long non-coding RNA from Gavialis gangeticus (Gharial), 1586 nucleotides. RefSeq lists it as uncharacterized. The record is from RefSeq and is a predicted model, not a curated record. The transcript is spliced from 2 exons. NCBI's taxonomy places the organism in Eukaryota, Metazoa, Chordata, Crocodylia, Gavialidae.